CACCUCCGCGUCUCGCCCCUCCGCCGACGCCCCCAACCUCGAUACCGACCGCGUUGCAACCGUCGCCCGCCCAGGCCUCCGCGUCGCCCCGCCGGACGUGCCUCGAGUCCAGCGCACCGCCGGUCCCCUUCCCCGACCGCCGCUGGCUGCCUUCCUCAACCUCCGUCCCGACGCGCCCGCCCCCCGACCGCCCAGGCUUUCCGUGACACCCUGUCGGAGGUGCACCGAGUCCGACGCGCCACUACCCCAUCUCACGGCACACCGCCGGCCGCCUUCCCCGUCUACCGCCGGCCCCCUUCCCCUUCUCCGACCGCUGCUGGCCCUCUUCCCCUUCUCCUUCCCCGACCGCUGGCCCCCUUCCCCGACGCAUCGCCGAUCCGAGGUAGCAUGCCUGAUCCAAAUUCAUCCACCCCUGCACAGUGCUGCCCCUGCCUCGUCCUCUCCCCCAUCGCCGAUUGAGGCCACGCACCCGCGCCCCCACGCCUUGCAGAUAACGUUUGCAAGUUCCACGCUGGGCCGGCCACAGAGAACGACAUUCGCGCCGCCGUCGUGGACAUCUCCGGGAUGAGAAAGGCGAUACGCUGGUGAGCAGGACUCUGUCAUGAUUGCUGCCUAAACAUGUGUAUCUGCUUGCUUCUGCUGGUGUGAAAUUUGCAGGUUGCUACCACGCGCGCUCGCCUUCCACCAUGCCUCUUCCUUUCCUCAUCUGGUCCGUCCCGCGCUCUCUGCUGUCUCUGGUGUGGCGCAAAGAGAACCAGAUCAGGCGUGCAGUAGGUGGCAGCGGCGAUAUGGACCUGGAGAAGGCUGGGCACCGCCUCCAGGGCGUGGAGAUCUCGGACGGCUCGACGUGCAGCACUUCAGUGGAUGCUUCUGCAUCUAAGUAGGAAGAGGUGAAAAAGAAACGCCUGCCUGGUGGUAAAUUCAAGAAAAAAGGUCUCAUUUUGUAGAUCAAUCGAUCAGAAAGCAACAGCCCAAUGAUUUACUACAUUUGGAGGCUUAACAAUUCUGCUUUACAUGGAAUUCAGCCAUGGAAGCUCACUGACAAGAUCAAAAAGGCAUUGUCAAAAAAAAGAUAACAAAGGUGUUCCAUUGUCCUCUGCUUUUUACACAGCUUAAACUCCUGAUACAAAAGAGAACAGAUCACAAGGUUAUCAGCAACAAUUGCGUUGUCUACAUGAAAUCGGCACAAACACUGCCAGAAAACUGCUCAUUCGUCCGCGGAGGUUAGUACCGGGCGCACUUUGGCCCGGUACUAACGUGCAUCUUUAGUACCGGGCCAAAGCCACAGUACCGCCUAGAGCCAUUUAGUACCGGCUGGAGCCACCAGCCGGCACUAAAGUGCGCCACGACAGCCGGGCGCAACGGCUAGGUGGCCACUUAGUACCGGCUGGAGCCACCAGCCGGUACUAAAUGGAGCCGAGCAAAUUAGUACCGGCUGGUGGCUUCAGCCGGUACUAAAUUGCAACUUCUAGUACCGGCUGGAGCCACCCAGUCGGUACUAAUCUGCCCACUGUAAAUCGGCUCGUCUUCUUCCUCCCCGAGCCCGAGCCAACCAUUUGACCGAGUUCGGGCUUUCUUCCCAUUGCGAGUUAGAGAGGUGUUGCCCCAUUUUCUCAAGUUUUGUGGAGAUUUCACUCAUCCAAGUGCACUAAAGGUUUGCAACUUCUUCCUCUCUUAUUUGAUGGUAUUUAUUAUUUGUUUCAUGCUCUGUAGUUUGAGAUAUUUGUGAUUUUUAGAAAUAUAUAGAAUGAGCACGUUUCCUAUAAUUUAUGGAUGGAUUUGAGAUGUAUAGAACCCAUUACUUGAAUUUGGAGAAGGUGUAUUGGAUAGUUUCAAUGUGGAUAAUUUAUAGGGAUUUUUUUCAAUUUUUUUCAAGUGGCAUGGGUGAUUAGUUUGGUAUUGUUAUGAAUUUAGUUGCAUUAUUUUGGCACUCUAAUGAUGUAUUUAUUCGGGCUCAUAUGGAAACUAUCGAGAAGUUUAAAAAAUGUAUGUUUUGGAUCAUGAAUAUGUCGUUAACCUUGAUUUUUCGUUGAAAACACUUCUAUUCGGGGCUAGCAUGCGGUGCGGUAUAUAUGAGGAUGCGAUGAAGAAGUACGGUCUUGGUCCCAAUUAUGAAAUCCGCACCUUUUGAGCGAGUUAAGAAUGAAAUUAUGCGAACCAAGGCCGUACUCCUUCAUCGGCUCUUAUUGUACCGCACUGUGUCGUGGAUGUCAAUAGUAGCCCUGAAUGUUAGUGUUAUCACUGCAGGGUCAAGGUUGACGACAUAGACAUGUUUUGAAACAAACAUUUUUUCUUCUCCAUGGUUUUAGAGAAAGUGAGCCUGAAACAAAGCCGCAAACAUUGAUUGCGCAUCCCUUAUGGCGUGGAGCGACGUAUUCGCGUUGAACUGAAGAGUGUCAAAAUAAUUAUGGUUUACAAUUUAUGUUUUCAUUUUAAUUCUAAUCAUUUGUUCAGAUUUUACAUUUAUUUGAUUAAUGUACUGAAAUUAGUUUUGUUUCUUAAUGAGACAUAUAAUUGACA
Long non-coding RNA from Panicum virgatum (switchgrass), 2520 nucleotides. RefSeq lists it as uncharacterized. Lineage: Eukaryota; Viridiplantae; Streptophyta; Magnoliopsida; Poales; Poaceae. The record is from RefSeq and is a predicted model, not a curated record. The transcript is spliced from 6 exons.